RNAcentral lists this ribosomal RNA (337 nucleotides) under uncultured bacterium. RNAcentral's name for it is "bacterial SSU rRNA". It matches the Rfam family "Bacterial small subunit ribosomal RNA", at positions 1184 to 1519 of the family's 1533-position model. The record is from RNAcentral.
GUCAAGUCAUCAUGGCCCUUAUGUCCAGGGCUACACACGUGCUACAAUGGACGGUACAGAGCGGAGCGAAGCCGCGAGGCUCGAGCGAAUCGCUUAAAGCCGUCCGUAGUUCGGAUUGAAGUCUGAAACCCGACUUCAUGAAGUUGGAAUCGCUAGUAAUCGCGCAUCAGCACGGCGCGGUGAAUACGUUCCCGGGCCUUGUACACACCGCCCGUCACACCAUCCGAGUCGGAGGUACCCGAAGCCGGCAGUCUAACCGCGAGGGGGACGUCGCCGAAGGUACGUUUGGUGAGGAGGGUGAAGUCGUAACAAGGUAACCAAGGGCGAAUUCGCGGCC